RNAcentral lists this ribosomal RNA (253 nucleotides) under uncultured bacterium. RNAcentral's name for it is "partial 16S ribosomal RNA". It matches the Rfam family "Bacterial small subunit ribosomal RNA", at positions 524 to 776 of the family's 1533-position model. The record is from RNAcentral.
UACGGAGGGGGCUAGCGUUGUUCGGAAUUACUGGGCGUAAAGCGCACGUAGGCGGCUUUGUAAGUUAGAGGUGAAAGCCCGGGGCUCAACUCCGGAAUUGCCUUUAAGACUGCAUCGCUAGAAUUGUGGAGAGGUGAGUGGAACUGCGAGUGUAGAGGUGAAAUUCGUAGAUAUUCGCAAGAACACCAGUGGCGAAGGCGGCUCACUGGCCCGGUACUGACGCUGAGGUGCGAAAGCGUGGGGAGCAAACAGG